RNAcentral lists this ribosomal RNA (253 nucleotides) under uncultured bacterium. Its description in RNAcentral is "partial 16S ribosomal RNA". It matches the Rfam family "Bacterial small subunit ribosomal RNA", at positions 524 to 776 of the family's 1533-position model. The record is from RNAcentral.
UACGGAGGGUGCAAGCGUUAUCCGGAUUUACUGGGUUUAAAGGGUGCGUAGGCGGACUUUUAAGUCAGUGGUGAAAUCCCCGAGCUUAACUCGGAAACUGCCAUUGAUACUAUUAGUCUUGAAUUCGGUCGAGGUUGGCGGAAUGUGUCGUGUAGCGGUGAAAUGCUUAGAUAUGACACAGAACACCGAUUGCGAAGGCAGCUAGCUAGACCGACAUUGACGCUGAGAUGCGAAAGCGUGGGGAGCAAACAGG